GGCACCAUGGCCUAAUGGUAAGGCGUUGCUUUCCGGCGGGCGUAACAGCCAAGAAGACUGGCAAAGAUUGUGGGUUCGAGUCCCACUGGUGUCG
Molecule: non-coding RNA, 94 nt
Organism: Paraphoma chrysanthemicola
Lineage: Eukaryota; Fungi; Ascomycota; Dothideomycetes; Pleosporales; Phaeosphaeriaceae
Source: the annotation of a GenBank genome assembly